GAUGAACGCUGGCGGCGUGCCUAAUACAUGCAAGUCGAGCGAACAGACGAGGAGCUUGCUCCUCUGACGGUAGCGGCGGACGAGUGAGUAACACGUUGAUAACCUACCUAUAAGACUGGGAUAAAUUCGGGAAACCGGAGCUAAUACCGGAUAAUAUAUUCAACCGCAUGGUCCAAUAGUGAAAGGCGGUUUUGCUGUCACUUAUAGAUGCAUCCGGGCCGCAUUAGCUAGUUGUUAAGGUAACGGCUUACCAAGGCAACUAUGCGUAGCCGUCAUGAGAGCGACAAGAGGCAGCUUGGCAGUGAGACACGUUCCACACUCCGACGGGAGGCCGCAGUAGGGACUCUUACGCAAUGCGGGAGAGCCGAACGGAGCAACGCAGGCUGAGGGCUGAUCCACUUCGGCUCGUAAAACUCUGUUAUUCUUGAAGAAGAAAAGUGCAAGUAACUGUGCACGUCUUGACGGUACCUAAUCAGAAAGCCACGGCUAACUUCGUG
This 497-nucleotide ribosomal RNA is filed under the name uncultured bacterium. Its description in RNAcentral is "partial 16S ribosomal RNA". It matches the Rfam family "Bacterial small subunit ribosomal RNA", at positions 28 to 507 of the family's 1533-position model. The record is from RNAcentral.